UUUUUGCGUCAGGGAUUGAAAUGGAAAUCCUUUUCCGCAGGGAAUAGAUUGAAAUGAAAAGCCCGCCCGUAG
This 72-nucleotide small RNA is filed under the name Chryseobacterium arachidis. RNAcentral's name for it is "Flavo-1 RNA". It matches the Rfam family "Flavo-1 RNA". Lineage: Bacteria; Pseudomonadati; Bacteroidota; Flavobacteriia; Flavobacteriales; Weeksellaceae. The record is from RNAcentral.